This 53-nucleotide transfer RNA is filed under the name Pseudoacanthocephalus sp. RNAcentral's name for it is "tRNA-Asp". The record is from RNAcentral. Lineage: Eukaryota; Metazoa; Acanthocephala; Palaeacanthocephala; Echinorhynchida; Pseudoacanthocephalidae.
GAUACCUGUCAGGUUAAAAUUGUCUGUUUUAUGUGUAGGCGGGUGUGGUAGUA